RNAcentral lists this ribosomal RNA (497 nucleotides) under uncultured bacterium. RNAcentral describes it as "partial 16S ribosomal RNA". It matches the Rfam family "Bacterial small subunit ribosomal RNA", at positions 28 to 507 of the family's 1533-position model. The record is from RNAcentral.
GAUGAACGCUGGCGGCGUGCCUAAUACAUGCAAGUCGAGCGAACAGAUGAGGAGCUUUCCUCCCUGACUUUAGCGGCGGACGGGUGUGUAACAUGUGGAUAACCCACCUCUAAGACGGGGAUAACUUCGGGAAACCGGAGCCAAUACCGGAUAAUAUAUUGAACCGCAUGGUUCAAUAGUGUAAGACGGCUUUGCUGUCACUGUUCGCUGGAUCCGCGCGGUAUUAGCUAGUUGGUAGGGUAACGGCUUACCAAGGCAACGAUUCGUAGCCGGUCUGAGAGGAUGAUCAGCCACACUGGAACUGAGACACGGCCCAGACUCCUACGGGAGGCAGCAGUAGGGAAUAUUGCACAAUGGGCGAAAGCCUGAUGCAGCAAGGCCGCGUGUAUGAAGAAGGCCUUCGGGUCGUAAAGCACUUUUAUCGGGGAGGAACAAAGUAGAGAUAAUCCCUGCACGUCUUGACGGUACCCACUCAAAAAGCACCGGCUAACUACGUG